AUACGUAGGGUGCAAGCGUUAAUCGGAAUUACUGGGCGUAAAGCGUGCGCAGGCGGUUUUGUAAGACAGUGGUGAAAUCCCCGGACUCAACCUGGGAACUGCCCUUGUGACUGCAAGGCUGGAGUGCGGCAGAGGGGGGUGGAAUUCCGCGUGUAGCCGUGAAAUGCGUAGAUAUGCGGAGGAACACCGAUGGCGAAGGCAAUCCCCCGGGCCUGCACUGACGCUCAUGCACGAAAGCGUGGGGAGCAAACAGGAUUAGAUACCCUGGUAGUCCACGCCCUAAACGAUGUCAACUGGUUGUUGGGGAUUUAUUUUCUCAGUAACGAAGCUAACGCGUGAAGUUGACCGCCUGGGGAGUACGGCCGCAAGGUUAAAACUCAAAUGAAUUGACGGGG
Molecule: ribosomal RNA, 395 nt
Filed under: uncultured bacterium
Lineage: Bacteria
Description: partial 16S ribosomal RNA
Rfam family: Bacterial small subunit ribosomal RNA
Source: RNAcentral